This 493-nucleotide ribosomal RNA is filed under the name uncultured bacterium. RNAcentral describes it as "partial 16S ribosomal RNA". It matches the Rfam family "Bacterial small subunit ribosomal RNA", at positions 28 to 506 of the family's 1533-position model. The record is from RNAcentral.
GACGAACGCUGGCGGCGUGCUUAACACAUGCAAGUCGAACGGUGAAGCGCCUUCCUUUUUGGUGGGUGUGGAUGAGUGGCGAACGGGUGAGUAACACGUGAGUAACCUGCCCCCUUCUUCUGGAUAACCGCAUGAAAGUGUGGCUAAUACGGGAUAUUCUGGGUCUGUCGCAUGAUGGGUCUGGGAAAGAUAUUGUUUCGGUGGGGGAUGGGCUCGCGGCCUAUCAGCUUGUUGGUGGGGUGAUGGCCUACCAAGGCGGUGACGGGUAGCCGGCCUGAGAGGGUGGACGGUCACACUGGGACUGAGACACGGCCCAGACUCCUACGGGAGGCAGCAGUGGGGAAUAUUGCACAUUGGGCGCAAGCCUGAUGCAGCGACGCCGCGUGAGGGAUGGAGGCCUUCGGGUUGUGAACCUCUUUCGCCAGUGAAGCAGGCCUGCCUCGUUUGUGGGUGGGUUGACGGUAGCUGGAUAAGAAGCGCCGGCUAACUACGU